This 216-nucleotide ribosomal RNA is filed under the name Glomeromycotina sp. RNAcentral's name for it is "partial small subunit ribosomal RNA". The stretch from base 40 to 216 matches the Rfam family "Eukaryotic small subunit ribosomal RNA", at positions 686 to 864 of the family's 1831-position model. Lineage: Eukaryota; Fungi; Glomeromycota. The record is from RNAcentral.
GGGUCAGUAGGUUGGUCGUGCCACCGGUACGUACUGGUCUCACUGAUUCCUCCUUCCUGAAGAACCGUAAUGCCAUUAAUUUGGUGUUGCGGGGAAACAGGACUGUUACUUUGAAAAAAUUAGAGUGUUUAAAGCAAGCUGACGCUUGAAUACAUUAGCAUGGAAUAAUGAAAUAGGACGAUCGAUCAUAUUUUGUUGGUUUCUAGGAUUGACGUA